Balaenoptera ricei (Rice's whale) is the source of this 903-nucleotide long non-coding RNA. RefSeq lists it as uncharacterized. The record is from RefSeq and is a predicted model, not a curated record. NCBI's taxonomy places the organism in Eukaryota, Metazoa, Chordata, Mammalia, Artiodactyla, Balaenopteridae. The transcript is spliced from 4 exons.
AUGUAUCUGUCCGGUUUCAUCUACUUUAGGAGAAGGUAGUCGGCCUAAUUGGGGACACGCAUUUAGGAAUAGUCAGCCAUUUUAUCACGAGUCCACGCUCCAGAGCCCCCCAAGACCUGAGCUUCAAUCAGCACCAGAGCUCUUGUUUAUUAGUAUAAAGGGCCUUAGAAACGAGUUCCCACUGGCGGAAGCAGUUCGAGGCGGGUGGAUUGGUCAGGAAUAGGAGCGGUACUUCAGCUCUUGCAGGUGCAGACCGGGAAAAUCUGGUGUGCUCCGUGGUUGGUUCUCUUAGGAACGGCACCAUGGGCUUGAUUCUUAAGUGGUCCUGCGUGCAUCCAGCGGCUGAUUUGGUGGAUUGUGCGCCCCUGGAGUCGGACUAGAAGGUUGGAGAAUCCCGCUGCAAGACUUUCCUUGCAUUUGCCUCAGGCAAACUUUCCUGAGAGGCGGCUGCUGGAGCUUUUAAAGGAUGGAGGGCUGGAACGUCACGGAAUUUACAGGACCAGUUAUAUGGCUGCUUUGCGUAGCUUGUUCAGAACUUGGCCUGAAGACUUCCUUUCACAAUAUCCUGGUGGCACGGUAUGGAGAGAGGCCCUACUCCCUCGCCCACCUCGAAUUACUAAAAGCCUCGUCCUGAGGGGUGGAGAGUCAAAGUCACCAGGAAACAGAGGGUUCUCAGCCAGCGGUAUUGUGCCCACCUGUAUCAGGAAGUGGAGCUUCUGAGUUAUCGUUAAAGUGAGGAAAUGUCAUUAUUUGUUUGAAGCUUCUUCUCGUCAUAAUCUUUGGAAAGGUUAUUACAUUCAAUAGUUACACCUGACACACCUGUAAAGUCUUCUAAUUUUCGUGAAAUGUGAAGUCUUCUAAUUUUCAAUCCACUCUUCUGUAGAAGCAAAGGACCAUUCUCCA